This is a small nuclear RNA of 167 nucleotides. Its record names the gene U2. It matches the Rfam family "U2 spliceosomal RNA". From Rfam's summary of the family: U2 is a small nuclear RNA (snRNA) component of the spliceosome (involved in pre-mRNA splicing). Complementary binding between U2 snRNA (in an area lying towards the 5' end but 3' to hairpin I) and the branchpoint sequence (BPS) of the intron results the bulging out of an unpaired adenosine, on the BPS, which initiates a nucleophilic attack at the intronic 5' splice site, thus starting the first of two transesterification reactions that mediate splicing. The record is from Ensembl.
AUCGUUUCUCUGCCUUUUGGCUAAGAUCAAGUGUAGCAUCUGUUCUUAUCAGUUUAAUAAAUUCACAGAAUUUUUCUUGCAAGGGAAGGUUUUAUUUGUUUUUUUAUCUUUGUUGUUUUGAGAAGGAGAGAGUUGAGCGACUCUUUAUCUGAACACCUGGACCUUUU